GUACCAAGAUCUCACUUUUAACCUGCAAACCUUCCUUUUCCUGCCUCCCCUCCCCCGGGAACACAGGGAAAAAAGAACAGUUUAGAAUUUACCCAAGCCAAAUACACAGGUCAGGUGGAUUAGAGCAAGCUCAGGUUGGCAAAUCCCAAGGGGAGCAGCUGUUUUGCUUGGCGUCUCUGCCCGAAAAUCCCACGCCAUAAACAUUCCACAAUCCAGGGGAGACGGAGGGGUCUGGCAGGGGAGGACGGUGGGCAAGGCAAAUGCUGUGUCUUUAAUUUUCUUUUCCGAGGGAAGCAAAGUCUGCAGAGCCAUGACAGCCUCACUUGUUCAGCCUUUAAUGCGCGUUGGGUUUUCUCCAGUGGAGGGCACUCGGUGUUCCACAAACUCCAGCCUCGGCGCCCGCCAGCUCCGGAGCAUCAUCGCUCUCUGGAAAGCCUCGGAAUUAGACGAGAGCUGCCUCUCAGCACAGCUACAAAACACUUUAAACCCGACCAGCUAAAUGGAUAAACCGAGCCUGCGGGGCUGCUGAACCGGGCUCUGGCAUAGCACGGGAGGCCGUGCCUGCUGCGGGAGCCGGCCGAGGAUGGAUCGCUGUGCCCGGCAAUGGCAAGAGGCAGCAGAAUGAGGGAUGCGAGGCGCCGGCAGAGCUCUGGUCCUUCCUCCCAGAGAACUUGGUUCGUCUCCAUCGCCCGCUCCGGCUUUUCUCGCCGACUGCCACUUAACGCCGCCGGUUCUCUGAUGACUUCCACAAUGGCUCUCAGAGCUUAGAGUCCCUCCCUACCCCCCCACACUCCCCCCAUCCUUCGUCCUGUCUUCCCCACCCCCAACCCCUUCCCUUAUCCUUUCCCUUCCUCAUCCCCAAAAUUCUCGCUGGUCCUCUCCGGGGAACUUUGUGGGGUUCCUGGCGGGCACGCUGGAUGGCGGCGGGGCGAGCGGCAGCCGCGCUGUGACAUGAAGAUGAUGAUGGUUUGAAGCGGAGGAGCCGGGUUUGGAAAAGAGAGAGAGAGAGGCGAGGGGGGAAGAAAAAAAAUAUAUAAAUAAAUAAAUAAAAAGGGACGAGAGCGGAGAAAACAGCUGGAGGAAGGCGAAGGAGGACGUUAUUGAUGACAAAAGGAUGGGUUUCCAUGUGAUCAAGCAGCGGGGAGGCUCCAGGGUGCUGCUGGGGCUGCUUCCCCUGGCGCUGCUGGCGGGGCUGGCGGGUGCCCAGCGAGCCUGCCCCAAGAGCUGCCGCUGCGACGGCAAGAUCGUGUACUGCGAGUCGCACGCCUUCCGAGACAUCCCGCACAACAUCUCCGGCGGCUCCCAGGGCUUGUCCCUGCGCUACAACAGCAUCCAGAAGCUGAAAUCCCACCAGUUCGCGGGCCUCAACCAGCUCAUCUGGCUUUACCUUGACCACAACUACAUCAGCUCUGUGGAUGAGGAUGCCUUCCAGGGGAUCCGCCGGCUGAAGGAGUUGAUCCUGAGCUCCAACAAAAUCACCCACCUGCACAACAAGACCUUCCACCCCGUGCCCAACCUCCGCAACCUGGACCUGUCCUACAACAAGCUGCAGGUGCUGCAGGCGGAGCAGUUCAAGGGCCUCCGCAAGCUCCUGAUCCUGCACCUGAGGUCCAACUCGCUGAAGACGGUGCCCAUCCGCGUUUUCCAGGACUGCCGCAACCUCGACUUCCUGGAUUUGGGCUACAACCGCCUGCGGAGCUUGUCCCGCAACGCCUUCGCCGGCCUCUUGAAGCUGACGGAGCUCCACUUGGAGCACAACCAGUUUUCUAAGAUCAAUUUUGCCCACUUCCCGCGGCUCUUCAACCUCCGCUCCAUUUACUUGCAGUGGAAUAGGAUCCGCUCCAUCAGCCAGGGGUUGACGUGGACCUGGAGUUCCUUGCACAACUUGGAUUUAUCAGGCAAUGACAUCGCAGGGGUAGAGCCCGGCACCUUCCAGUGCCUGCCCAACCUGCAAAAGCUGAACCUGGAUUCCAACAAACUCACCAACAUCUCUCAGGAGACCAUCAACACGUGGAUCUCUCUCAUCUCCAUCACUCUGUCCGGGAAUAUGUGGGAAUGUACUCGAAGCAUUUGCCCCCUGUUUAAUUGGCUUAAGAAUUUCAAGGGAAAUAAGGAGAGCACCAUGAUCUGUGCAGGCCCCAAACACAUCCAGGGCGAGAAGGUGAGCGACGCUGUGGAAACCUACAAUAUCUGUGCCGAAAUCCAGGUGGUGCCUACUGAAAGGUCCUACCAGGCUCCCAAAACCCCCCAGAGACCCGUGUUCAUCCCCAAACCCACCGUCUCCAAACUGGAAAGCCACCAGCCGACAUCGGCGAUGCCAAGCCCUUCCGCAGACAUCCCAACGCCCGCGGUGGAGCCGGAGUACGAGCACGUGUCCUUCCACAAGAUCAUCGCGGGGAGCGUGGCCCUCUUUCUCUCUGUGGCCAUGAUCCUGCUGGUCAUCUACGUGUCCUGGAAGCGUUAUCCCGCCAGCAUGAAGCAGCUCCAGCAGCACACGCUCAUGAAGAGGCGCAGGAAAAAGGCCCGGGAGUCAGAGAGGCAAAUGAACUCCCCUUUGCAGGAAUAUUACGUGGACUACAAGCCAACAAACUCUGAGACCAUGGAUGUAUCUGUUAAUGGAUCUGGGCCCUGCACCUACACCAUCUCUGGCUCCAGGGAAUGCGAGGUCCCUCACCACAUGAAGACUUUACCCUACUACAGCUAUGACCAGCCCGUGAUCGGCUACUGCCAGGCCCACAAGCCCCUCCACGUCAACAAGGGCUACGAGACGGUGUCCCGGGAGCCGGCGGAGACCUCCAACCUGGACCUGGGCCGGGACCACAGCUUCAUUGCCACCAUUGCGCGCUCCGCCGCCCCCGCCAUCUACAUCGAGAGAAUACCCAACUAACGGGGGCCACCACCUCCGGGGACAGCUCUGGGAGGGACCUUUCGUCUGGGAGGAGACCAGGCAAGGCGCUCCAACCCCACCGUUCCAGCGGCAAACGCUCCGAGGGCAGCGGGUGGCGGCGGCCUCCGCGCGGCAGGAAGGCCGGAGCGCACGCGGAGAACUUCAGGAUUUUCCUUGCUUUAAACUUUCAAACAAAUUCCUCAGUGUAAAUAUUAAAGAGAGAGAUUGUCGAGUUCUUUAUUAAAAAGAACAACAGCAACAGCAACAACAGCAGCAACAAAUAGAUUUCACUCUAGCUACAUAAAGGGAUGGAUUAAGAGUUUUGUUUGUAUAUUUGAUUUUUCUACAUUGCACGGUUCCAGGGAAGGAGAACCACAGUCUCAGUUCCUGGAUUCAUGUGAUCCUGUUGCACCUUCAGCUUCAGACCGUGUCCAAACUCUCUUUAGGCCAGGCCUUUCUACUCCUCUUCACACAGUUCUGGUGAGGAAAGUGGCUGCUCUGCACGGGAGAAUGGAGAAACUCAACAGGUUUCCAGGUAAGACCCAAAAAUUAAAAAUUAGACUUUGAUGGUGUUCCUCUCCCAGCAAAGGGGCGUUAACAAAGGGACCUCGUUAGUGAAUAGUGGCUUUGGUGGCACCUUGGAGGUCACAGAGCCCCCAGAGAAGCUGCUGAGCUUCCAACCAAAGCUGUGAACUUCGUGCUCUGCAAAAAAACUCAACAACUGAUGGGUCUAAGUAACAGAUUCUCCAAGAAUCUGAGGGAUUCUUGGGGGAAAUCAGAUGCUGCUUUUCUCCACCACUCAUAGUCACUUUGAAAAUGUCCAUGGGGCGCUGAAAUUCCUCUGUCCUGGGAAUUCCGGUGGGUUCUGCAUCCCAGAGCCUGUCCCAGCACUUCUGCUCAGAGUUAUUUCCAAGGCUGGCAAUAUUUUGCUGUGAGAUUUAAAAAUCUUUUGGAAUAAGCUGCCCUUUUCAGUAAUGAAUUGCAAGUGUUCUGAAGAUUGAUAAACACAAUUUCAUCCUGACUCCCCACUGGAAAAAGUCCCUGAAGGAAUUUGGCACGAUGGCCAUGGCAAAUCUAGUGCUUUUAUAGAUAUUUUCAAGCUGCAUGAAGAUUUAAGGCUCUGAUGUAGUGUGUAUUGAAAGUUAUUAAUUUUUAGGUGGUUUUGGCUCCUUUAAAUGUCACUUGUCACUUUUUUAAAGCUGUAGAAAGGAAGGGGGGGUUGGUGGGGCUGGGAGUCCAUCAAGCUGGAACCUUGCCUUAAAUUAAGAAAAAUAAAUUACCUGUCUGAUAUUAAUGCCUUCCUCAUAAGAGUGAGAGCAAUAAAGAAGGCUCAGACUGAUUUGGAGUUUGGGUUUGUUGGAGGGCAGGAAUUAAAAACCAUCCUUGAUCCCCAGAAAAUGGAGGAAAGCAGAUUUCAGGGACACACCACCCAUUCCUCAGGGCAAGAGCAGGAAAUGUUCUUAUCCCCAGAGAUCCUGCUCAUCACUGAGAAGAUGAGGUUUGAUUAUCUUGAUUUUAAAAAGUGUCAUUAUCAGUAUGAUAAAGAUAAGAAUAAAUUAAAAAUAAGAAUAAACCUGCCCCUUUUGGAGGAGAAGCUGUGGCUGGCCCAUCCCUGGAAGUGUCCAAGGCCAGGUUGGAUGGGGUCUGGAGCAACCUGGGACAGUGUCCCUGCAGGGUGUUGGAAAUGGAUUUUUCAGGUCCCUUCCAACCCAAACAAUUCCAUGAUUCUCUAAUUAAAAACCAUUCCAUGAUUCUCUGAUAAAAAUUCCCCAGCCUGACCCCAUUCUGUGAAAGAGUUAAGCAGAAAAUCCCAAUAAAGAAACUCAAAAUCACAGCAGAGCUGGGUCCCAAGUGGAGUAAAACACCAAAUGUCCCUGAUUUGCUCCAUGCAGUUAUUCCAGCAGCACUUAGUGCCUGUUCCUGGCCUUGGAGCCCUGCUGCUGGGAUUUAAUAAAGCGUGGGCAGCUUAAAGUAAAUGAGGCCUAGCAGGGAAUGCUGUCAGUCCUAACUGGAGCCAGGGGACACAUCCCAGCCCUGCCACGCCAUGCCAGGACAGAUCCCAGGCUGGUACAAACCCACCUGUGUCUGGGGCAGGGUUCUCUCAGUCUCAAGCUGCAUCAAGGGAAAUAUAGGUUGGAUAUCAGGAAAAAGUUCUUUACAGAAAGGGUGAUAAAGUUCUGGAACGUUCUGCCGGGGAAGGUGGUGGAGUCACCAUCCCUGGGUGUGUUUAACAAAGCCUGGAUGUGGCAGUGAGUGCCAGGGUUGAGUUGGGGUGUUUGGGCUGGGUUGGAUUGGGUGAUCUUGAAGGUCCCUUCCAACCGAGUCAUUCUGUUAAUUCAGUGCCAAAAACAGUAUUCAUUUACAAGACAAAAAAGGCCUUUUUUUCUUUUUUUCCCCCUUCAGUGCCAGGGUUUAGUUGAGGUGUUGGCGCUGGGUUGGACUCAGUGGUCUUGAAGGUCUCUUCUAAACCGGUGAUUCUGUGAUUAAACCCAGCUCUUUACAAGCUUGCUCUCAGUGACAGAUUUUGGAAAUCAGUGACAAAGUCAAACCAGGCCUCUGUGCCCGCCCCCUCCCCUGCUACCCCCCAGUGAUAUUUUGUGUAUUAAAAAGGCAGAGGAAAAUCAAGUUGAUAAGGCACAAACUCCAGCAGCUCGUGACUUUCAAUCAGCGCCUCGGGCUCCCCAGCGCUCUGGAGGGCUCUCGUUGCUAAAAGGGUGUGCUCAGAACAGCGGGAUCCAGGGCAUCUUGAGAGCCUGAUGAGGGAGGGAAAAGAAAGCAUUUUUCUCCCAAAUCCUCCUGGGAUUUAGGGUUGAAAGAGAGGGCAGGUCGGCAAAUACGGUGAUGUCAGGGUCCUGCUGGGAUAGAAAAUGUGGUCACAAUAAUUUAGAGCAAAAUACAUCAUAAAAUCUUGUCAUAAAAUCAUAGAAAGGCCUGGGUUAGAAAAUCCCUUUUAAAUUCCUUGUGUUGGACAAAGGGAGUAACACUCCAAUAAACUGUUGGUGAUAUUCAAGUUGUAAUUUAUAAACAGUCUCCUCAAACAUUGUGGUAUUUGCAAUGUAUUUAUAUCAUAUUAUGUAAGAUAAAUGGCUGGCAAACAUUCAUAAAGUAUUUAUUGGACAUGCCACUGUUUGUUCAAUGAUUUAUAAAUCAAUGCUGGGAAAAGGGAAAGUGGUGGCAGAGUUUCAGAUAAAUUCGUUGCAAAAUAUUUGCUGUGCAUCAAUAAUUCUGAUAUUAAUUAGUUUAGGCCUUAUCUGCAAGUGCCUUGGGAAUGAUUUACAGUUCACUUUUUCUUCAAUCCCAAGCUCAAGGGGCUGGAAUUCCUACUUGGGCUGGAAUUCCUGCUCAGGUUGGGGCCAGGCUGGGGUGUGCACAGUCCUGGUUCUGUCCGGAGCUGGAUCUGUUCAUGGUUUGUGCAUGUCUUGGUUUGAAAGGACAGGUGUCUGCUCAGGAAGGCAGGACCCUCCCCUGAAACGGAAAAUGUAAAUCCCCUCCCUCCAAAUUAUUAUAAUGAUGAAAUUAAAAGGCUCUCAGGCAAAGGUAUUGGAGUAGGAAUAACAGUUCUUAACUAUGAAAAUUUUAAAAAUACAAAUGCUAGAGUACAAAAAAGAAAACAAACUACUGCCAGAGUCAGAGCAGGAGCUGUCCCCCUGUGGAUCAGGGUGGUGGCACAGUCCCAUCCCAUGGGGGCUCAGCCCUCCUGCAGUGCCAGCUGUGGUUCUGCUGGAGCAGGGAUCCUGGACAAGUGGGGAGUUUUCCUCUGAAGCUCCAGAGGAAAGCUGCUGGAGAUGGGCCUGGUGUUCCUCUGGGAAUGCAGGGCAGAAGAAAGCUGCUCCUCUGGGAAUGCAGUGGGCAAAGGCUGCUGGGGUGUCCCAAACCUCAGAUUGUAUCCAGGUAGGAAUGCUUGGCUCCUCCCCUGGGCGGAGCAUCUCCCAAUGGGAUGAUGGAAUUUGAUCAGCCAUGCAGGGACACUCACUGGCCAUGAACAGCAGAUAAUUAAUAAUUAAUUCCUCCCCUGGAGGGAGGAUUGUCUGUGGAAGAGAUAAAGAAAACUGCCUGAUGAACAGGAGAGAACUGCCCCACCUCUGACAGAUGGUGAUAGACCACACACCCAGCCUAAGACAAGCAGCUUCCCAGUUUACUGCCCCAAAUUCCCUCUUUGUGCUCCCAGCUGCAAAUGGACUGGGGAAAGGUCAGGAAUGGGAAGGAGCAGCUGCUUUAGGGGAAGGUAGAAAUCAGCAGCUCCAUAAACUGCCAGAAUUAGUUAAAUCUCCAUCUUCAGCCUUAAUACCCACAACCACCUUCCUGCCCUGGGAGUUUGAAGCAGAAAUGUGAAGUUGUGGCGCUUUGCUGCCCUUUCGUGCCUGAUCCCAGCAUGGAAAAUGGAGCUGACAUAAACUGGGAGUAUCCAAAUGAUUUGUAAGUAUCUGGGCUAAUGAAUGAGUUAGAGCUCUGUCAAUAUUUGCAGCCAGGGCUGUGGAAUUAGCGUGGGUAAUGCAUGCAGGAGAUGUAAUUUUCAAUUUGCUUAUCAAUGUAAACAUUCAUUUAAAGCCGAAGGUAAGCCUGGUUUACACAACUUUGCUUGCUGGGAAAGCGGGGAAAUUUAUAAUUUACAUUUUUCAAGGGAGGGCUGCUCACAGGUACGCAAAUCAGGAAUAUUUUGGUGUUGUUUUGCAGUGCAAAAUUCAGUUCUUUCCUAAACACCAAACCAGAUUCUUGCAUCCCAUGGAAGAUGACCUGAUGUGUUAUUUCAAGUAUAUUUUUUCAUGUUUAUUGUAUGUUUUCUCCCUGAGAACAAGAAAUCUUUCCCAAAACAAAUCUUUUUGUCUCUCUCUGGUUUCCCCUGCUAUUGUUGAGCAGAUCAUAAUCUCAUCCAUAAUGGAUGUGGGACUGAAAAAUUCCAGGGAGUUCACAUUUACCAGCGUUGCCGAGGGAAGGAAUUCUCUCCCGAAGAUUCAGCUUUAAUAUAAAAGAGGAAUAGCUGAUAUUACCAUGUUCAGAUCCAAAAACUGAUAAUGGAGCCCUGCUGAUGUUUAAUAUCAGCUGGAUUCCAUUGGCCUUGUGCUAGCAUCAUUUUUGAAGGUUGGAUUUGUGGUUCUGUGAUGAGGAGCUGGAAUAAUUAAAUCCCUAAAAAUCUACUGCCCUGGAACUGCAUGUCAGGAAAAGACCUCUCUGAUAGAUCUCUUUUCAAUUGUAAUCAAAUUGAAGGAAUUUGGUAUUUUUGGGAUAUGAUUAAAAUGUAGCUGAAUGUGGCAGAGGAGCUCAGUUAUCUCAGAGUUUCUGAUGCAGCAGAGCACAAGGGUUUCUUCACAGCUGCUUAAACCAACAAUUUUAUUUUAUAUCUCAGUUAUCAUUCUCCCAGGGAAAGGAAACAAUUGAUCCCAUCAAAACUUGGUUUUGUUUGACACCACUUUUUGAAGUGUUUCAGGUCAGGCCUAGCAGGGGGAGGUGAAUUAUCUCCUGUCUGCACAGUGCAGGCACCACCCACCACUCCUUGGUCCUUGCUGAGUUCCCCAGGGCUGUUGUUUUAUGGAAAUAACUGGAAUUCUGGAGUUCUGCUGCAUCUCAGCCCUGGUGGAAUUUUACUUCAGGCCAUUGCACCAAAAUCUUCUGGAAGUUUCUCCCCCAGCCUCUCUGGCAGGUGGAAUUGUCAAAACAAAAAUCAAUCUUAACAGAAAAAUGUUCUUAAUUAACUCAAUGGAAUAAUAAAACAUCAUUAAAAUGAAAAUAACAACAUGAUAAAUUUACUGGAGAAACUAAAAAGGGUAUAAGGAGCAUAUUAUGCUUUUAGGGGAUUCGGUUUUGCUUGCAACAACUUGUGGCUUCAUCAAAAACAAAGCAAUCAUUGUGUUCUCUUUUGUCCAUAUUGGUCCAUAUUAGUCUAAAACUGUCUUUUUCCACUCCAUAUUUAAUUAUUUUGUUCUGUUGUUUUUGGGUUUUUUUAAUCUAUGGAGUCGGAGCAGCACCAGGAAUGGGAUGAAGGCUCUGGCUUCUGUGGGGAAAAUAUGGGAAAAAAAAAAACAAACAAACAUGCAGACACAGGGGAGGGAGGGAAAUAACCUUAAUUCUGGGAGUUUGGCAUUAAGUGGGUGAGAAGCAGAGCAGGCCCCUUGUGCUGGUGACAGCAGGAGAGCCGGGGGACAAAGCCCAUGCGGGGACCAGCUGUGCACAGAGGCACUUGGGGAGGCAAAGUGGAACAUCUGUGCAGCACAGGAACCACGGGGGAAGGAGCUGCCAGGGAAUCCAGGCUCGGGGACAAACAACUGCUCCUGCCCGAGCCCUUUUUGUGUGCAUUUCCCAGCAGGAGCAGUGAGGCAGCAGGGAAGGAGCUGAGCGCCAGGUGGGAGAACUUCUGGCGCAAGGAAUGUGAAAAACGCCAGCCACUUGUUUUCAGAAUUUUUUUAAGUUUAAUAGUAGUAAGAUGGUUAUAAAAAUAGUGAUAUAAUUAGAGUAAUAAAAAUUUGGACAAUUAGGCUUUAGAGACUGAGAAUUGUCAGUAUGAGAAUUGUCUCAUAUUUUUUGUAUGAGACAAUAAAAACAAAGGGUUAUGGACAGUCUGGGUACCUUUUCAGGCAAAAUAAGCCUGAAAAAGGACCCACAUUACCCUUAAAAGCAAUAGCCUGUUGCAUAUUCAUACUCCUCCCACAUGUGAAUUGUCUGUUUGGUCAGGAUAACAUCCAGUGAGCAUGUAAUGAGGACCCUGCUAUUGAUAUGCCAUCUAUCAGCAUCUGCCACCUGAAGAAAAUAUGGAGCAAGGCCCAGACUGGAAGGGAUAAGGAGAAGGAGCCAAAACCACAGCCAGGAAACACACAUCCUCUAAAAAGGCAGAUCUGAGGAGGGGCCAUGUAAAAUAGUUCCUGGAAUAUGGAAACUAGUUGAUGGAUAUGCAUAAGGGUCUAUGAAUAUGCAACAGGCUGAUGGAAGGGAAAAGGGAUUUAAGGGGCAUCCCAAAGAUAACAGGGGGGAAUUCAGGAUCUCUGGGGCACAGGGGAUCUAUAGGGCAGGAUCUUUGGGGCAGAAGGAAUCUAUGGGGCAGGAUUUCAGGAUAUGUGGGGCAGACAGGAUCAUAAUCUUUGCUUUAUUGUCCUUGUCUCCUAUUGUCCUUUAUUAAACUUUUUUAAUUUUCACAGGAGGGUGAACGUGUUUUUCACAAGAGGCUGCACGUGCCUCUCCCACUUCCAAAUCCCCCCUGUUCUCCCUGCUGCACACAGCGACCCUGCCACAAGGCCAUGAACACCUCCAGGUCUUUAUUUAUUCUGGCAUUUCCGCAGGCCCUGCCAGGGGUUGUUGUUUUCUUUCCUAGGCACGCUCAGUAUUUCCAUGGACAGCGUGGGUUUCAUCCUUUAAUUUUAUCCCCUGUGUUUGACAGAGAGGCAGGAGUGGAAAAUGCUUUUUGUCACCCUCCAAUUCUCACCUGUGCAGGUGCCACGUGUGGUGGUGACAGAGACAGAGCAGGAGCAGAUUCCAUGGAAAAACCCUGCGGAUGGAGCUGGGUGCUGCUCCUGGAGGAGGGGAGCUGUGCUUGUCACAUCACUGCCAUGAUUUUGAUUCCUCCUGGGUUUUCACAGUGACUUCCUCCAUUUGCUCUGCUGGAUGAGUCAGGAAUGCAGAGCCCUGAGCUGCUGCAGUGUCCAUGCUCUGCCCUGCCUCGCUGCCUCAGCUGCUCCCUGCCCAGCUCCUGCCUUCCCUCCCCACCAAUUCUGAAUUCACAUUGAGAGGAAAAUUAAUCCACAAACAUCAGAGGUUUAUGUCCAAAAAGGAGACAGAAGAGUUCUUUUACUUUAUUGGAAUAAAGGGAGAGGCCAUGGGGCAUUCCCCUGGGGUCUCUCCAGUUUUCUCCUGGAGAAGUUUUGAAGAUUCCUCAACACUUCAGAGAGAAAACCUUGCUGUUUUCUCCUGUUCUAAUUGUAUGGGCAGGAGGGGAAUAAGAAAUCAGCUCUUUCAGAUUUGUCAAUUUUCAGAAGCUAUUAAGCCAUUCUGGUUUAAUUUGGGUUCAGAGCCGUUCCAUUAUGGAUGCAGGGAGGGAGCCAUCCCUGGUGACCCUCGGGACAUGCCAAAGUGCUUUAAGAUCAGUUUGGGCAGUCAGAGAUGUGUGAGUAAUAAAACGUCUGCUCCAGGAGGGCCUUUGCCCACCCUUGGCAGGGGAACCUGGCAAGAAGCUCCUCCACAGCUUUGCUGCUCCUUCCCAUCCCUCUGCCUCCUUCAGGAGCAAUCUCCAUCUUUUCCUUUCCAUCUCUCCUCUGAUUUUUUCCCUUUCUUUCCCAGCAAACCUCUGAAGUUAAGGCACCACAAGAUGCAACAUGACAUAAUCAAUAGAGAAACUUUCCUAGCUUGCCAAGGCUUGGGAUUUUUUUUUUUUUUUUUUUGAAGUGUCUUGCUAUCUGUCAGCAUGUGCUAAUUGAGCCUACACACCCAUAUGGCACCUGCUCCCUGGAGGGAAGCGUUUCCAUAGCCCUGGAGAGCACGGGGAGCGCUUGGGAGGGAAGCAUUUGCCUGGGAAUGUUGUAUUCCUGGAAAACAAACUGGGGAUGGGACCCACAGGGCUCAGCUGGAGCCUUUGGUGUCGCUUAGAACGCUUACACUGUGUGAGCUGUGCCAUGCUUGGCUUAAAUUUAGAACUGUGGAAUGUUUUCAUUCUGAAGAGGGUGAGAGAAAUGAUGUUGGGGGGUUUCUGAUGAGUCCAAGCAGGGCAGCAGCUCUGUUAAACCUGAGGGGUGGUGGCUGUGCUGCCCAGACAUCACCAGGAAUGGCUCGGCAGCAGAGGCAGCCACCCCAGCUGAGUUCAGCAGCUGGAAUUUCACAUUCCCACCCUCCCUGGGGCAGUCUCACCAAAACCUCAGCCAGGGUUCAGGAGCUCUCCAGCCCCUGUGCCAGGGAGAGCUGGGUUCCACCUCGGCAUUCAGGAGGCAUCUGCCACCGUGGGGAAGGGAGGUGGCAGAUCCCAUCCACAGAUGGGCAGACAGAAGGAGAAGGGGCUGCCUGAGCCAUGCCUGGAGAGGGAGCAUAAAAAAAUAUCAAACAGUCAUGAGUUUUGCUCUGUGAAGGAAACAAAACACACUCGGUGAGGUUCUGAAGGGCUGGGGAGGCUGGGGCUCUGUCAGCCUGGUCACCAGCUGGGGCAGAUGUGACAGGAGGCCUGGGAGGUGUGAAACACCUACAGAUGUGUGAAUAUGGAUGAUGCAGAGCUGCAGGGCUCUGCAGAAGAAACACGUGGAGUUGUGGGCAGGCAGCUGAAGGUUUGGGAUCAGUGGGGCUGGCACCAGGCUCAUCUGCACCUCCUGAAACCCCUGGUCAGCCCCAAAUUACAGAGAUCAUUUGGCAUGGGGCUGGCACAAGGCCCAUCUGCAGUUCCUGAAGCCCCCGGUCAGCCCCAAAUGACCUAGAGAUCAGUAGGCCUGGCACAAGACUUUUGUUCACCUCCUGAAGCCCCUGGUCAGCCCCAAAAGACCAGGACAUUAAUGGGGCUGGCACUUUCCAGAGUCCCAACACAGCUUGGCACAGAUUGGCCAAAGAGUGAAAACAACUCACCCCACAAUCCAAUGAAACCAUCACCUGUGGGUAAACAAUCUCCAAACACAUUCCACACAGGAGAAGCAAAUGAGAUAAGAAUUGUUUUCCUUUUCCUCUGAGGCCUCUCAGCUUCCCAGGAGAAAAACCCUGGGCGAAGGGAUUUUUUUCAGAGAAUGUGGAUGUGACAUCAACCCGGGAAAUGUGGCUUUGCUGGCUGGACUUUGUUUGGGAAGGGAAGUGCUGGUGACCAGAUGUGCGUGGGAGCAGGGAGGAGGUGCUGUGGGCUGGCAGAGCUGGUGGCAAACACAGAGUGGGCACGAAUUGGAUUAGAGCAGCUCGGAUGGCAGCAGUGGGUGUUCGCCUGCAGAUCCUGCUCUGGGAAUAUCCCAGGAUUUGGGAUGGAGGCACCAGGGCUGCCGGGAGCUCAGCGGUGCCUGUGCUUCAGCUGGGGCCUGCCUGCUUACACAACAGGCCGAGGGGAUUGCAGCAGGGAUGUUUUCCUGCCUGUUUUUCCGUGUGGGUGGAACUUGGUAGACAGGAAUCCUCAGGUGGGGAAGGGGAACGAGUGCCUGGGGCAGAGGGAAUGUGCUAAACUCGGCACUAACACGGCACCGAGGCCUCAGCCUGGCUAUAAAUUGCCACCUUGCGAAGCAAUUUUGGCUUUUGCUGUGUUCUCACUUGUGAUAAAUUUGCUGGGAGCUGGAGGUGUUUCGCCUCGGAUGCCUUGAGCUGUUCCCUGAGUCUUUCCCAGGGCUUGGAGAGGGAAUUUGUCUGUCUCCUGUGCACACUCUGCACAUCCUCAGAGAGCCAGGGAGGUGUUUUCCCUGGGAAAACCUGCAGAGGCCUUGUCUCUCAGAAACACAUUUUCUCCACACAUUUUGGGAGCAAACAAGGAAAAUAUUUAUUUUUCUGCUUUUUUCUCAUCUAUUGGUUUAAAUUAUUUACUUCUCUACACAUUCAGCAUUAGAAAGUCCUCUGAGUAACCCAAGCAAUGGAGAUGAAAACCCCGGCAAGAGGCUGUGUACAAACUGAUUAAAUUGGGCUCCAAAAUCUGCUCUGAAGUCAGAGUGAUGUUAAUCAGCAGCAGAACUGAAUGAGGGAAAAGAUAAACACACACUUGGUUUUCCAGCACUUUCAGAACGGCCCCCACAGCUGCUUUGGUUCAAAAUAUUGAUUUUAUUUUCUGUAGAUAUUUUUUAAUGUAUUUAACACUUUUUUUAAUGUGACAAUAAAGAUAUUUG
Molecule: RNA transcript, 13635 nt
Organism: Passer domesticus (house sparrow)
Lineage: Eukaryota; Metazoa; Chordata; Aves; Passeriformes; Passeridae
Gene: LRRTM4
Gene name: leucine rich repeat transmembrane neuronal 4
Exons: 4
Source: RefSeq, a predicted model, not a curated record